Molecule: transfer RNA, 76 nt
Filed under: Lactococcus lactis
Lineage: Bacteria; Bacillati; Bacillota; Bacilli; Lactobacillales; Streptococcaceae
Also listed under: 4 other names
Description: tRNA-Arg
Rfam family: tRNA
About the family: Transfer RNA (tRNA) molecules are approximately 80 nucleotides in length.
Source: RNAcentral
UGCAGGCGUGGCUCAACUGGAUAGAGUACCUGACUACGAAUCAGGCGGUUGUAGGUUCGAAUCCUACCGCUUGCAU